AGAGUUUGAUCCUGGCUCAGGACGAACGCUGGCGGCGCGCCUAACACAUGCAAGUCGAACGGAGCUUAGAGAGCUUGCUUUUUAAGCUUAGUGGCGAACGGGUGAGUAACGCGUGAGUAACCUGCCCUAGAGUGGGGGACAACAGUUGGAAACGACUGCUAAUACCGCAUAAGCCCACGGUACCGCAUGGUACUGAGGGAAAAGGAUUUAUUCGCUUUAGGAUGGACUCGCGUCCAAUUAGCUAGUUGGUGAGGUAACGGCCCACCAAGGCGACGAUUGGUAGCCGGACUGAGAGGUUGAACGGCCACAUUGGGACUGAGACACGGCCCAGACUCCUACGGGAGGCAGCAGUGGGGGAUAUUGCACAAUGGGGGAAACCCUGAUGCAGCGACGCCGCGUGGAGGAAGAAGGUUUUCGGAUUGUAAACUCCUGUCGUUAGGGACGAUAAUGACGGUACCUAACAAGAAAGCACCGGCUAACUACGUGCCAGCAGCCGCGGUAAAACGUAGGGUGCAAGCGUUGUCCGGAAUUACUGGGUGUAAAGGGAGCGCAGGCGGGAAGACAAGUUGGAAGUGAAAACCAUGGGCUCACCCAUGAUGCUUCAAACUUUUCUUGAGUAGUGCAGAGGUAGAUGGAAUUCCCGGUGUAGCGGUGGAAUGCGUAGAUAUCGGGAGGAACACCAGUGGCGAAGGCGGUCUACUGGGCACUGACGCUGUCGAAAGCAUGGGUAGCAAACAGGAUUAGAUACCCCUGUAGUCCCAUGCCGUAAACGAUGAUUAUAGGUGUUGGAGGAUUGAACCCUCUCCAGUGCCCGCCAGUUACACAAUAAGUAAUCCCACUGGGGUCGACCGCAAGGUUUGAAACUCAAAGGAAUUGCGGGGGCCCGCACAACAGUGGAGUAUGUGGUUUAAUUGGAAGCAACGGAAGACCCUUACCAGGUCUUGACAUCCGAUGCAUAACACAGAGAUGUGUGAAAUCCUUCGGGACAUCGAGACAGGUGGUGCAUGGUUGUCGUCAGCUCGUGUCGUGAGAUGUUGGGUUAAGUCCCGCAACGAGCGCAACCCUUAUUGCCAGUUACUACGUUAAGAGGACUCUGGCGAGACUGCCGUUGACAAAACGGAGGAAGGUGGGGAUGACGUCAAAUCAUCAUGCCCUUUAUGACCUGGGCUACACACGUACUACAAUGGCGUUAAACAAAGAGAAGCAAGACCGCGAGGUGGAGCAAAACUCAAAAACAACGUCUCAGUUCAGAUUGCAGGCUGCAACUCGCCUGCAUGAAGUCGGAAUUGCUAGUAAUCGCGGAUCAGCAUGCCGCGGUGAAUACGUCCCCGGGCCUUGCACACACCGCCCGUC
Molecule: ribosomal RNA, 1353 nt
Filed under: uncultured bacterium
Lineage: Bacteria
Description: bacterial SSU rRNA
Rfam family: Bacterial small subunit ribosomal RNA
Source: RNAcentral